RNAcentral lists this ribosomal RNA (422 nucleotides) under uncultured bacterium. Its description in RNAcentral is "bacterial SSU rRNA". It matches the Rfam family "Bacterial small subunit ribosomal RNA", at positions 355 to 774 of the family's 1533-position model. The record is from RNAcentral.
UAAGGAAUAUUGGUCAAUGGACGCAAGUCUGAACCAGCCAUGCCGCGUGAAGGAUUAAGGCCCUCUGGGUUGUAAACUUCUUUUAUAUGGGACGAAAUGUGCCGAUUCUUCGGCACUUGACGGUACCAUAGGAAUAAGCACCGGCUAACUCCGUGCCAGCAGCCGCGGUAAUACGGAGGGUGCAAGCGUUAUCCGGAUUCACUGGGUUUAAAGGGUGCGUAGGCGGGCAGGUAAGUCAGUGGUGAAAUCUUCCGGCUUAACCGGAAAACUGCCGUUGAUACUAUUUGUCUUGAAUAUUGCGGAGGUAAGCGGAAUAUGUCAUGUAGCGGUGAAAUGCAUAGAUAUGACAUGGAACACCUAUUGCGAAGGCAGCUUACUACACAAUGAUUGACGCUGAUGCGCGAAAGCGUGGGGAGCGAACA